GGGGAUGCCUAGGUUUCGACGUGGUCGAAUAAUCUUUAGUAGCAAGUCGUUUUCUGACACGUAAAUCAGUAUUUAAAUAUAAACGCAAACAAUAAUAGCGAAGCAAACUUCGCACUAGCUGCCUAAGAAACUGGUGGCAAUGAAUUGUAGGUUUGUCGCAAACUUACAAUUUGUUUCAUAAUUAUAGCGACAACUCUCAUACCAAAGCUUUGAGAUAUGAGCAGUAAGAUGAAGCUAGCAUAAAAACUAUUUGUAAGUUUAAGAGUCUUUAUGCGAAAUCUUUAAACUUACUAAGCUUGUAGAAGCUAUUGAGGAGGCUUCCGCGGACAUGGGUUCGAUUCCCAUCAUCUCCACCA
Molecule: transfer-messenger RNA, 356 nt
Filed under: Anaerococcus nagyae
Lineage: Bacteria; Bacillati; Bacillota; Tissierellia; Tissierellales; Peptoniphilaceae
Also listed under: 1 other name
Description: Standard tmRNA
Rfam family: transfer-messenger RNA
About the family: Bacterial tmRNA, also known as 10Sa RNA or SsrA, is named for its dual tRNA and mRNA-like properties.
Source: Rfam by way of RNAcentral